CUUGAGAGAGCCGACCCGCAACGGCCGCUCCGCGGGGCGUUGUUGCCCGUACGUGGCGAGCAGGGCCUGGGCCUC
This 75-nucleotide antisense RNA is filed under the name Streptomyces caelestis. Its description in RNAcentral is "ASpks TB sRNA". It matches the Rfam family "ASpks TB sRNA". The record is from Rfam by way of RNAcentral. Lineage: Bacteria; Bacillati; Actinomycetota; Actinomycetes; Kitasatosporales; Streptomycetaceae.